AAACUGAGGUCCCAAGUCUCUGUCCUUGAGGACACAGAUGGAUAAGUGAGGCACAAAGCAGGCUCCAAGUCUCCAAGUCUCAUGUGGAGAAGGUGAUCCACCAGGACUUUCAACCUUGGGGACAUAAGAAGAUAGAUUUAGGAUGAGGGAGAAGAAGUCUUGCCAAAAGAUCAGUUUAUUCCAUCGAAGAAACAUACAGGCUAUGAGAGGAUGUGCUCAGCAGGCUGGAGGGGUGCCUCGUGGCUCCCCUGGUGGGCUUUGACCCAGUAGACCUCUGACUUGCCCUUUGGCCUCCUCCAGCCCCUGCCCCAACCCUGCCGACUCUCUCUGAGAAGGGAACACCUCACUAGAUCCCCACCCGUGCCCGACACACAGCUGACGAUCACAGAUGAAACUGUUUCCAGCCUGUCUGUCCCCUCAGCAUUGUCUGACACAUGACAUAUACCUCACCAUAGAGCCACAUGUGCCAGUCCUUCCCACAAGAUCUCGGUGCCUUUAUACUCCCUGCAUCUGAUUGGAACGCCGACUGGCAUCUUGAGUAUUGACACACUCCCAGGACGUGUUUUCCCCAGGCGCUGGCCUGUCCUUGCCAGCGGUCCAUUUCCACUGACUUGGUAGGCUGGCACAUCCACUCCCUCAGGAAACACUGUGAAGAUUCCUCUAGUGCAGGCUCUCCGUCCUAC
This 683-nucleotide long non-coding RNA is filed under the name Mus pahari (shrew mouse). RNAcentral's name for it is "lncRNA (MGP_PahariEiJ_G0005287.1)". The record is from RNAcentral. Lineage: Eukaryota; Metazoa; Chordata; Mammalia; Rodentia; Muridae.